RNAcentral lists this ribosomal RNA (533 nucleotides) under uncultured Tomentella. RNAcentral's name for it is "eukaryotic LSU rRNA". The stretch from base 165 to 319 matches the Rfam family "5.8S ribosomal RNA". Lineage: Eukaryota; Fungi; Basidiomycota; Agaricomycetes; Thelephorales; Thelephoraceae. The record is from RNAcentral.
GGGGGCAUGUGCACGCUCUGUUUACACAUCCACUCACACCUGUGCACCCUCUGUAGUUCUGUGGCCUUGGGGGCUCCUGCCCCCUUGCUGUGGUCCUACGUCUUUACACACACCCCGUAACAAAGUCUCAUGGAAUGUACAUCGCGUUUAACGCAAUACAAUACAACUUUCAGCAACGGAUCUCUUGGCUCUCGCAUCGAUGAAGAACGCAGCGAAAUGCGAUAAGUAAUGUGAAUUGCAGAAUUCAGUGAAUCAUCGAAUCUUUGAACGCACCUUGCGCCCUUUGGCUAUUCCGAAGGGCAUGCCUGUUUGAGUAUCAUGAACACCUCAACUCUCAUGGCGCUUGUCAUGAUGAGCUUGGACUUUGGGGGUCUUGCCGGCAUACUGUCGGCUCCUCUCAAACGAAUCAGCUUGCCAGUGUUUGGUGGCAUCACAGGUGUGAUAACUAUCUACGCUUGUGGUUCCCCACCAGGCAACCUCCAGUGAUGGAGGUUCGCUGGAGCUCACAAAUGUCUCUCCUCAGUGAGGACGGC